This is a long non-coding RNA of Callithrix jacchus (white-tufted-ear marmoset), 633 nucleotides long. RefSeq lists it as uncharacterized. The record is from RefSeq and is a predicted model, not a curated record. Lineage: Eukaryota; Metazoa; Chordata; Mammalia; Primates; Cebidae.
UAAUUACGUAUACAAUUUCUAUCUUGCUUGCUCUGCCUCCCAGACUUCAGUAUUGCCUUUCCCGGAAGCGUUUCCUGACUUUCCCUGGGAGAGUUGACCACACUCCCUCCUGCUGUUUCUGUACUUAGAAACAUCUGUCAGGUCAUCUCUGACACUUCCUUCCACUUACCUCUUCAGCAGCCUGCCUUCCUCAAGACCUUGAGUCCCUUUAAGGCAGAAGUCAAAGUAAUGGCUUAAGGUGUCUCAAUGCUUGUACCUACUGCAAAACUAAACAUGCCAGAGGAAAUUCGGCCAGUUACCCGAUUGAUGAGCUAGUAGAUAGAGCCAAACAAUCUUUUCAAGAUUCUUGCUCUGUUGCCAGGCUGGAGUACAGUGGCACGAUCUCAACUCAUUACAACCUUCGCCUCCCGGGUUCGAUUAAUUCUUCUGCCUCAGUCUCCUAAGGAGCUGGGACCACAGGAGCACACCACCAUGCCCAGCUAAUUUUUGUAUUUUUAGUAGAGACAGAGUUUCACUAUGUUGGCCGGGAUGGUCUCGCUCUCUUGACCCUGUGAUCCACCCGCCUCAGCCUCCCAAAGUGCUGGGAUUACAGUCACUAUGCCCGGCCAAAAGUUUUUCUUCAAUAAUAAAUCA